UAGGGAAUCUUCCGCAAGGGGCGAAAGCUUGACGGAGCAACGCCGCGUGAGUGAUGAAGGUCUUCGGAUCGUAAAACUCUGUUAUUAGGGAAGAACAAAUGUGUAAGUAACUAUGCACGUCUUGACGGUACCUAAUCAGAAAGCCACGGCUAACUACGUGCCAGCAGCCGCGGUAAUACGUAGGUGGCAAGCGUUAUCCGGAAUUAUUGGGCGUAAAGCGCGCGUAGGCGGUUUUUUAAGUCUGAUGUGAAAGCCCACGGCUCAACCGUGGAGGGUCAUUGGAAACUGGAAAACUUGAGUGCAGAAGAGGAAAGUGGAAUUCCAUGUGUAGCGGUGAAAUGCGCAGAGAUAUGGAGGAACACCAGUGGCGAAGGCGACUUUCUGGUCUGUAACUGACGCUGAUGUGCGAAAGCGUGGGGAUCAAACAGG
This 429-nucleotide ribosomal RNA is filed under the name Actinomycetes bacterium. RNAcentral describes it as "Actinobacteria bacterium partial 16S ribosomal RNA". It matches the Rfam family "Bacterial small subunit ribosomal RNA", at positions 355 to 776 of the family's 1533-position model. Lineage: Bacteria; Bacillati; Actinomycetota; Actinomycetes. The record is from RNAcentral.